Oncorhynchus tshawytscha (Chinook salmon) is the source of this 362-nucleotide long non-coding RNA. Lineage: Eukaryota; Metazoa; Chordata; Actinopteri; Salmoniformes; Salmonidae. The record is from Ensembl.
GCACUGUUGGAGCUAGGAACACAAGCAUUUAGUUAGAUAUUACUGCACUGGUGGAGCUAGGAACACAAGCAUUUAGUUAGAUAUUACUGCACUGGUGGAGCUAGGAACACAAGCAUUUAGUUAGAUACUACUGCACUGCUAGGAACACAAGCAUUUAGUUAGAUACUACUGCACUGGUGGAGCUAGGAACACAAGCAUUUAGUUAGAUACUACUGCACUGCUAGGAACACAAGCAUUUAGUUAGAUACUACUGCACUGUUGGAGCUAGGAACACAAGCAUUUAGUUAGAUAUUACUGCACUGUUGGAGCUAGGAACACAAGCAUUUAGUUAGAUACUACUGCACUGUUGGAGCUAGGAACAC